GAUGAACGCUGGCGGCGUGCUUAACACAUGCAAGUCGAACGGACUAAUUUAUUAGUUAGUGGCGGACGGGUGAGUAACACGUGGGUAACCUACCUCAUACAGGGGAAUAACGUUUGGAAACAAACGCUAAUACCGCAUAACCUAUGAUUGUCGCAUGAUAAUGAUAGCAAAGAUUUAUCGGUAUGAGAUGGACCUGCGGAAGAUUAGCUAGUUGGUGAGAUAAAAGCUCACCAAGGCGACGAUCUAUAGCCGGCCUGAGAGGGUGAACGGCCACACUGGGACUGAGACACGGCCCAGACUCCUACGGGAGGCAGCAGUGGGGAAUAUUGCACAAUGGGGGAAACCCUGAUGCAGCGACGCCGCGUGAUUGAAGAAGGGUUUAGGCUCGUAAAGAUCUAUCAGCAGGGAAGAAAAAAAUGACGGUACCUGACUAAGAAGCCCCGGCUAACUACGUGCCAGCCGCCGCCGUAACAC
Molecule: ribosomal RNA, 474 nt
Filed under: uncultured bacterium
Lineage: Bacteria
Description: bacterial SSU rRNA
Rfam family: Bacterial small subunit ribosomal RNA
Source: RNAcentral